CCUACGGGGGGCAGCAGUGGGGAAUAUUGCACAAUGGGGGAAACCCUGAUGCAGCGACGCCGCGUGAGGGAGGAAGUAUUUCGGUAUGUAAAGCUCUAUCAGCAGGGAAGAAAAUGACGGUACCUGACUAAGAAGCCCCGGCUAACUACGUGCCAGCAGCCGCGGUAAUACGUAGGGGGCAAGCGUUAUCCGGAUUUACUGGGUGUAAAGGGAGCGUAGGCGGUUUAGCAAGUCAGAAGUGAAAGCCCGGGGCUCAACUUCGGGACUGCUUUUGAAACUGUUGAACUAGAGUGCAGGAGAGGUAAGUGGAAUUCCUAGUGUAGCGGUGAAAUGCUUAGAUAUCACGAAGAACACCGAUUGUGAAGGCAGCUUACUAAACUGUCACUGACAUUGAUGCUCGAAAGCGUGGGUAUCAAACAGGAUUAGAUACCCGUGUAGUC
RNAcentral lists this ribosomal RNA (440 nucleotides) under uncultured bacterium. Its description in RNAcentral is "partial 16S ribosomal RNA". It matches the Rfam family "Bacterial small subunit ribosomal RNA", at positions 338 to 795 of the family's 1533-position model. The record is from RNAcentral.